RNAcentral lists this ribosomal RNA (253 nucleotides) under uncultured bacterium. RNAcentral's name for it is "partial 16S ribosomal RNA". It matches the Rfam family "Bacterial small subunit ribosomal RNA", at positions 524 to 776 of the family's 1533-position model. The record is from RNAcentral.
UACAGAGGUCCCAAGCGUUGUUCGGAUUCACUGGGCGUAAAGGGUGCGUAGGCGGUCGGGUAAGUCUGACGUGAAAUCUUCAAGCUCAACUUGGAAACUGCGUCCGAUACUAUUCGGCUAGAGGAAUGGAGGGGAGACUGGAAUUCCUGGUGUAGCGGUGAAAUGCGCAGAUAUCAGGAGGAGCACCGGUGGCGAAGGCGGGUCUCUGGGCAACAACUGACGCUGAGGAGCGAAAGCGUGGGGAGCGAACAGG